Molecule: long non-coding RNA, 402 nt
Organism: Podarcis raffonei (Aeolian wall lizard)
Lineage: Eukaryota; Metazoa; Chordata; Lepidosauria; Squamata; Lacertidae
Exons: 2
Source: RefSeq, a predicted model, not a curated record
GAGGGCCAGGAAUCCUCCGGCUCGGAGGGCGAAGCGCCGGGGCCCAGCUGGGCUUGGCGGUUCCUUCCCCUCGCUCGCGCACACGGGUCUUUUCUGCCAACCCCAACCUACAAGAAUGCGGGCCGACGCCGCGGGGCCCAUGUCAAAAGAGAGCAGGCCCAGGCCCCGUCUUGAAGUAAAAUUAUAUCCGAGCUCAAGAUUAUGAUUUGUCCAAGCUGCUUCACAUUAUUCUGCCUGAAGGACAGCAUUCUGCAAUGUGACCCCCUCCAGAUGUUUUCAUCUGCAAGCCAUGCUGACAUCUCAAACACACCAGAUGAGGAAGGACCACUAUCCGAUGUCAUCCUGCCCCCACACUCAGAUUAUCAGGCUUCUCUCAUUAAAGCACUUGGCUUCCUUCUCCCA